Molecule: ribosomal RNA, 397 nt
Filed under: uncultured bacterium
Lineage: Bacteria
Description: bacterial SSU rRNA
Rfam family: Bacterial small subunit ribosomal RNA
Source: RNAcentral
GAUGAACGCUAGCGGCAGGCUUAAUACAUGCAAGUCGAGGGGCAACAGGGGUAGCAAUACCUGCUGGCGACCGGCAAACGGGUGCGGAACACGUACAGAACCUUCCUUUAAGCGGGGGAUAGCCCAUAGAAAUGUGGAUUAAUACCCCAUGGUAAUGUUUAGUGGCAUCACUAGAUAUUUAAAGAUUUAUCACUUAAAGAUGGCUGUGCGUCUGAUUAGGUAGUUGGGUAGGUAAGGCUCACCAAGCCAUCGAUCAGUAACUGGUGUGAGAGCACGACCAGUCACACGGGCACUGAGACACGGGCCCGACUCCUACGGGAGGCAGCAGUAAGGAAUAUUGGUCAAUGGACGCAAGUCUGAACCAGCCAUGCCGCGUGAAGGAUGAAGGCCCUCUGGG